CCUACGGGUGGCAGCAGUAGGGAAUAUUGCUCAAUGGGCGAAACCCUGAAGCAGCAACGCCGCGUGGAGGAUGAAGGUUUUCGGAUUGUAAAACCCUUUUGUUAGAGAAGAUAAUGACGGUAUGUAACGAAUAAGCACCGGAUAACUCCGUGCCAGCAGCCGCGGUAAUACGGAGGGUGCACGCGUUACUCGGAAUCACUGGGCGUAAAGAGCGCGGAGGCGGGAUAGCAAGUCAGAUGUGAAAUCCUAUGGCUUAACCAGAGAACUGCAUUUGAAACUGGGAGUCUAGAGUAUGGGAGAGGUAGGUGGAAUGCUUGGUGUAGGGGUAAAAUGCGUAGAGAUCAAGAGGAAUACUCAUUGCGAAGGCGACCUGCUAG
This 377-nucleotide ribosomal RNA is filed under the name uncultured bacterium. Its description in RNAcentral is "partial 16S ribosomal RNA". It matches the Rfam family "Bacterial small subunit ribosomal RNA", at positions 338 to 732 of the family's 1533-position model. The record is from RNAcentral.